This 733-nucleotide ribosomal RNA is filed under the name Salmonella enterica. RNAcentral's name for it is "partial 23S ribosomal RNA". It matches the Rfam family "Bacterial large subunit ribosomal RNA", at positions 2093 to 2824 of the family's 2925-position model. The record is from RNAcentral. Lineage: Bacteria; Pseudomonadati; Pseudomonadota; Gammaproteobacteria; Enterobacterales; Enterobacteriaceae.
GUGAACCUUUACUAUAGCUUGACACUGAACAUUGAGCCUUGAUGUGUAGGAUAGGUGGGAGGCUUUGAAGUGUGGACGCCAGUCUGCAUGGAGCCGACCUUGAAAUACCACCCUUUAAUGUUUGAUGUUCUAACGUGGACCCGUAAUCCGGGUUGCGGACAGUGUCUGGUGGGUAGUUUGACUGGGGCGGUCUCCUCCUAAAGAGUAACGGAGGAGCACGAAGGUUGGCUAAUCCUGGUCGGACAUCAGGAGGUUAGUGCAAUGGCAUAAGCCAGCUUGACUGCGAGCGUGACGGCGCGAGCAGGUGCGAAAGCAGGUCAUAGUGAUCCGGUGGUUCUGAAUGGAAGGGCCAUCGCUCAACGGAUAAAAGGUACUCCGGGGAUAACAGGCUGAUACCGCCCAAGAGUUCAUAUCGACGGCGGUGUUUGGCACCUCGAUGUCGGCUCAUCACAUCCUGGGGCUGAAGUAGGUCCCAAGGGUAUGGCUGUUCGCCAUUUAAAGUGGUACGCGAGCUGGGUUUAGAACGUCGUGAGACAGUUCGGUCCCUAUCUGCCGUGGGCGCUGGAGAACUGAGGGGGGCUGCUCCUAGUACGAGAGGACCGGAGUGGACGCAUCACUGGUGUUCGGGUUGUCAUGCCAAUGGCACUGCCCGGUAGCUAAAUGCGGAAGAGAUAAGUGCUGAAAGCAUCUAAGCACGAAACUUGCCCCGAGAUGAGUUCUCCCUGAGACUUAG